AAGAUUUUAGUUUUUCACUAGAGCCAGGAUAGGAGAAAACCAAACGAUACCGUACAAAUACAGUGUAUUUGGUGCACUAGAAAUACAUUUUAUUCGUGACAACAGUGUUACUUUCUUCAGAUGUGCAUAUCAAUAUCACAAACUUGAUCGAGAAUAUUUGUGGUUUACAUUGCUAGUGUUUAGUUAUUUAUAGAGAUAGGGCUACAAAACCAUAAUUAUGCCUCGAAGUUAACCUGGUAAAUCGCGUUAAAAAACUAACAAUUAAUUAUAUUGUGUAAUAGCAUGCUCUAGCAAAACAUAAACGAUUCGUUGAUUUAUUACACACCUUGAUUAUGUAGCUUGGUUUGACAAACCAGCACUCGUUUUGGGACAAUCAACAAAUCCUCAAUUUGACAGAAAUCCAAUGGUAGCGGCACACGAUUCGAUCGUAGUGGC
Anopheles merus is the source of this 435-nucleotide long non-coding RNA. RefSeq lists it as uncharacterized. The record is from RefSeq and is a predicted model, not a curated record. NCBI's taxonomy places the organism in Eukaryota, Metazoa, Arthropoda, Insecta, Diptera, Culicidae. The transcript has 3 exons.